This 85-nucleotide transfer RNA is filed under the name Felis catus (domestic cat). It matches the Rfam family "tRNA". From Rfam's summary of the family: Transfer RNA (tRNA) molecules are approximately 80 nucleotides in length. Their secondary structure includes four short double-helical elements and three loops (D, anti-codon, and T loops). RNAcentral also lists the same sequence under 2 other names. The record is from Rfam by way of RNAcentral. Lineage: Eukaryota; Metazoa; Chordata; Mammalia; Carnivora; Felidae.
GCCUGGGUGGCUCAGUCGGUUGAGCAUCUGACUUUGGCUCAGGUCAUGAUCUCACAGUUCGUGGGUUCAAGCCCUGCCUCAGGCU